Tachysurus vachellii is the source of this 634-nucleotide long non-coding RNA. RefSeq lists it as uncharacterized. Lineage: Eukaryota; Metazoa; Chordata; Actinopteri; Siluriformes; Bagridae. The record is from RefSeq and is a predicted model, not a curated record. The transcript is spliced from 4 exons.
UCUUAUUUAAUACAAACCUGCACACUUCUUGUGUCUUUCUGACUUAGGAAGGCAGGAUGGGAUGCAACUCCAGCACCACGGCACAAGACAAACCACAUUUAAACUCCAAAUCAGAAUGUCCUGAAUCUGAUGGAGUCAAUAGUGUAACCACUGCAGAGAAUGAUCUGAAUCACGAUGCUACAAAACCAGAACCAGCACCAGACGAAAACCAAGAAUCUGAAGCUCCAGCAGCAGACGAGGCAGAUCACGUGAAACAAGAGGAAUAACCAGGUGCAAGCGAGUAACACUGAGGCUCACAGACAGCGUAGGAAAUGUGGGGAAGUCUGAUCAUGAACAUCUUCCACAAUGUUUUAUUUCUUUCUGAAUAACAGUUUGCUAAUGAUUUCAUCUAUGCCUCAAAUUCCUGUUAUCACACGUUAUAGCAUCUAUAAGCAUCUUAUAAACACCACCUUCUUCAUUCUCUCUCUUGAUGUGAAUUAUACCAUAACGCAGCUUGUCAUGUCACCAAGAAUCCAGAAGGUCCAUUGACCUAAAGACUUUCCCACUGAUGGAAAACUGUUCCAAAGACUCCUUACUGAAACUGGAGACUUCUUAAACAAAUGUUUAAUAAAUAUCUCCCUAUAAUAACGCUUUA